RNAcentral lists this ribosomal RNA (207 nucleotides) under uncultured bacterium. RNAcentral describes it as "partial 16S ribosomal RNA". It matches the Rfam family "Bacterial small subunit ribosomal RNA", at positions 568 to 774 of the family's 1533-position model. The record is from RNAcentral.
UGCGUAGGCGGGUUUCUAAGUCAGAGGUGAAAGCCUGGAGCUCAACUCCAGAACUGCCUUUGAUACUGGAAGUCUUGAGUAUGGCAGAGGUGAGUGGAACUGCGAGUGUAGAGGUGAAAUUCGUAGAUAUCCGCAAGAACACCAGUGGCGAAGGCGGCUCACUGGGCCAUUACUGACGCUGAGGCACGAAAGCGUGGGGAGCAAACA